Long non-coding RNA from Daphnia pulex (common water flea), 575 nucleotides. RefSeq lists it as uncharacterized. The record is from RefSeq and is a predicted model, not a curated record. NCBI's taxonomy places the organism in Eukaryota, Metazoa, Arthropoda, Branchiopoda, Diplostraca, Daphniidae. The transcript has 3 exons.
ACAUUUCAAUUGAUGCUGACGAUUAAUUUCAUUUUGGUUAUAGCUUUACAUUUACAUAGCAGCCAUUUUGCUUUCCAAAAUGGCAUGUUGUUCCAGCUUAGUUAAGACGAUGGAAAUGUGGUUUACAUUUGUUAUUUUUAAGUUUGAAAAACUUGACAAUUACAGAUUUCUUUGUAAGAUUUAUCAUGCCAGGUGAAGUCUGGGUUUCUUUGUUGCAGUACGUGGAUUUGUUGCAGUCAUCCAGUGAAAGGUGUGAAUAAAUUGAGCUGUUGCAUGCAGUCUUUGGUUCCGAUGUUGUCCUGGAGUGUGGGAGAGUUCCAUGCUUCAAGUCUUAUUGGAUAAGCCAUAUCUGAGUUGACAGUGGAUCAUGCUGUGUUGUGGUUGCCGAAAUGUUGGACAUCUAGUAGAACUGCAAGAAGCCUUCUUGAAAUGGUUAGUGAUGUUGCUUUCCAAUAUGGCAUGUUGUUGCAGCCUACACUGGUGAAAGAAUUUUUGCAUCGAGUUAUACUGUUGCUGUUCCUUGGUGCCGGACUGCUGGUGUUGUGCACAAAAGUUACAUCCAGUUUUAAUUGUUA